GCUCCGAUAGUAUAGUCGCAGAAUUGAGGACUGUGGUUCUCUCCGAGCAGACAUCCUUAGGCGCCGGUUCAAAUCCGGCUCGGGGCACCA
RNAcentral lists this transfer RNA (90 nucleotides) under subsurface metagenome. Its description in RNAcentral is "tRNA-His". It matches the Rfam family "tRNA". From Rfam's summary of the family: Transfer RNA (tRNA) molecules are approximately 80 nucleotides in length. Their secondary structure includes four short double-helical elements and three loops (D, anti-codon, and T loops). The record is from RNAcentral.